This 43-nucleotide non-coding RNA is filed under the name Schistosoma mansoni. The record is from RNAcentral. RNAcentral also lists the same sequence under 1 other name. Lineage: Eukaryota; Metazoa; Platyhelminthes; Trematoda; Strigeidida; Schistosomatidae.
GGAUGUACUACCAGCUGAUGAGUCCCAAAUAGGACGAAACGCC